This 2620-nucleotide ribosomal RNA is filed under the name Paenibacillus popilliae. Its description in RNAcentral is "partial 23S ribosomal RNA". It matches the Rfam family "Bacterial large subunit ribosomal RNA", at positions 379 to 2925 of the family's 2925-position model. Lineage: Bacteria; Bacillati; Bacillota; Bacilli; Caryophanales; Paenibacillaceae. The record is from RNAcentral.
UCGAAAGUAAAUGCCCUCCGAGACGGAUCCCGAGUACCGCGGGACACGUGAAACCCCGUGGGAAUCUGGCAGGACCAUCUGCUAAGGCUAAAUACUCCCUGGUGACCGAUAGUGAAGCAGUACCGUGAGGGAAAGGUGAAAAGCACCCCGGAAGGGGAGUGAAAUAGAACCUGAAACCGUGUGCUUACAAGAAGUCAGAGCCCUUUCUAUGGGUGAUGGCGUGCCUUUUGUAGAAUGAACCGGCGAGUUACGUUUGCGUGCAAGGUUAAGGUGAAGAGCUGGAGCCGAAGCGAAAGCGAGUCUGAAUAGGGCGAAUAAGUACGUAGGCGUAGACCCGAAACCGUGUGAUCUACCCCUGUCCAGGGUGAAGGUGCGGUAACACGCACUGGAGGCCCGAACCCACGCACGUUGAAAAGUGCGGGGAUGAGGUGGGGGUAGCGGAGAAAUUCCAAUCGAACUCGGAGAUAGCUGGUUCUCCCCGAAAUAGCUUUAGGGCUAGCCUCGGAGUAAAGAGUCGUGGAGGUAGAGCACUGAUUGGAUGCGGGGCCCGCCAAGGGUUACCAAGUUCAGUCAAACUCCGAAUGCCACAGACUUAUAUCCGGGAGUCAGACAGUGGGUGCUAAGGUCCAUUGUCAAGAGGGAAACAGCCCAGACCAUCAGCUAAGGCCCCUAAAUGUAUGUUAAGUGGGAAAGGAUGUGGAGUUGCCCAGACAACCAGGAUGUUGGCUUAGAAGCAGCCACCAUUUAAAGAGUGCGUAAUAGCUCACUGGUCGAGUGACUCUGCGCCGAAAAUGUAACGGGGCUAAACAUACUGCCGAAGCUAUGGAUUGCAUCGUAAGAUGUAGUGGUAGGGGAGCGUUGUGUACCGGGUUGAAGGUAGACCGAGAGGACUGCUGGACUGUACACAAGUGAGAAUGCCGGUAUGAGUAACGAAAAGACAUGUGAGAAUCAUGUCCGCCGAAAACCUAAGGGUUCCUGAGGAAGGCUCGUCCACUCAGGGUAAGUCGGGACCUAAGGCGAGGCCGAAAGGCGUAGUCGAAGGACAACAGGUUGAAAUUCCUGUACCAGCGUAACCGUUAUGAGCAAUGGGGGGACGCAGAAGGAUAGGGACGCGAGCUGAUGGAUGCUCGUCCAAGCAGUGAGGCCGAUGUGUAGGCAAAUCCGCACAUCANNNNNNNNNNNNNNNNNNNNNNNNNNNNNNNNNNNNNNNNNNNNNNNNNNNNNNNNNNNNNNNNNNNNNNNNNNNNNNNNNNNNNNNNNNNNNNNNNNNNNNNNNNNNNNNAGUACCGAAGGUCUUGAUUUCAUGCUGCCAAGAAAAGCCUCUAGCCAGGUGAAGCUGCCCGUACCGCAAACCGACACAGGUAGGUGGGAAGAGAAUUCUAAGGCGCGCGGAAGAACUCUCGUUAAGGAACUCGGCAAAAUGACCCCGUAACUUCGGGAGAAGGGGUGCCUCGGUAGGGUGAAUAGCCCGAGGGGGCCGCAGUGAAAAGGCCCAAGCGACUGUUUAGCAAAAACACAGGUCUGUGCGAAGCCGCAAGGCGAAGUAUACGGGCUGACGCCUGCCCGGUGCUGGAAGGUUAAGGGGAGUGGUUAGCCGCAAGGCGAAGCUAUGAACCGAAGCCCCAGUAAACGGCGGCCGUAACUAUAACGGUCCUAAGGUAGCGAAAUUCCUUGUCAGGUAAAUUCUGACCCGCACGAAUGGCGUAACGACUUGGGCGCUGUCUCAACGAGAGAUCCGGUGAAAUUUUAAUACCUGUGAAGAUGCAGGUUACCCGCGACAAGACGGAAAGACCCCAUGGAGCUUUACUACAGCUUGAUAUUGGACUUUGGUACGGACUGUACAGGAUAGGUGGGAGCCUGAGAAGCCUGAGCGCCAGCUUAGGUGGAGGCGCCGUUGGGAUACCACCCUGUUCGUAUCGGAGUUCUAACCUAGGACCGUGACCCGGUUCGGGGACAGUGUCAGGUGGGUAGUUUGACUGGGGCGGUCGCCUCCUAAAGAGUAACGGAGGCGCCCCAAGGUUCCCUCAGAAUGGUUGGAAAUCAUUCGAAGAGUGCAAAGGCAUAAGGGAGCUUGACUGCGAGACCUACAAGUCGAGCAGGGACGAAAGUCGGGCUUAGUGAUCCGGUGGUUCCGCAUGGAAGGGCCAUCGCUCAACGGAUAAAAGCUACCCUGGGGAUAACAGGCUUAUCUCCCCCAAGAGUCCACAUCGACGGGGAGGUUUGGCACCUCGAUGUCGGCUCAUCGCAUCCUGGGGCUGAAGUAGGUCCCAAGGGUUGGGCUGUUCGCCCAUUAAAGCGGUACGCGAGCUGGGUUCAGAACGUCGUGAGACAGUUCGGUCCCUAUCUGUCGCGGGCGUAGGAAAUUUGAGAGGAGCUGUCCUUAGUACGAGAGGACCGGGAUGGACGCACCGCUGGUGUACCAGUUGUUCCGCCAGGAGCAUAGCUGGGUAGCUAUGUGCGGAAGGGAUAAGCGCUGAAAGCAUCUAAGCGUGAAGCCCCCCUCAAGAUGAGAUUUCCCAAUUAGUAAGACCCCUUGAAGACGACGAGGUAGAUAGGUUGGAGGUGGAAGCACAGCAAUGUGUGGAGCUGACCAAUACUAAUCGGUCGAGGGCUUAUCCUA